This 107-nucleotide ribosomal RNA is filed under the name Marixanthomonas spongiae. Lineage: Bacteria; Pseudomonadati; Bacteroidota; Flavobacteriia; Flavobacteriales; Flavobacteriaceae. The record is from RNAcentral.
UAAGGUGGUUAUAGCGACGGGGCUCACCUCUUACCAUUCCGAACAGAGUAGUUAAGCCCGUUUGCGCCGAUGGUACUGCACCGUGGGAGAGUAGGUCGCCGCCUUCU